RNAcentral lists this ribosomal RNA (2611 nucleotides) under marine metagenome. RNAcentral's name for it is "bacterial LSU rRNA". It matches the Rfam family "Bacterial large subunit ribosomal RNA". The record is from RNAcentral.
AGAGCACUAGGGGGAUGCCUAGGUACCAAUAAAAGGACGUAUUAAAACACGAAAAGUUAUAAAGAGCAAAAAUUUGUGAUGACUUAUAGAUUUCCUAGGGGAAAACCCACUCAUAAUGAGUAUAAAAAAUUAGUGAAUUGAAACAUCUUAGUAACUAAAUUUAAAAAAUCAACCGAGAGUCUGUUAGUAGUGGCGAGCGAAAACGGAUUAGGCCUAAAAAUAUUUAAUAUAUAUGUUGAAAAAACAGAAAAAGUUUUACAAAAUAGGGUGAAAGUCCUGUAAACAUAUAGAUACUAUUUUUUUGUAUAGGGCGAAACAUGUGAAAUUUUGCUUGAAUAUUGGGGAAUCAUCCUCAAAGCCUAAAUAGUUAUUGGUGACCGAUAGUGAACAAGUACCGUGAGGGAAAGGUGAAAAGAACCGGAUAGGGUUGAAAAGAACCUGAAACUUAGUGCUUACAAUCAGUUGGAGCUUUUUUACAAAGUGACAGCGUACCUUUUGCAUAAUGGGUCAGUAAGUUUAUUCUUAUAGCAAGCUUAAUUUAUCAAAAGUAGGCGUAGUAAAAGCAAGUCUUAAUAAGGCUUUUAGUUAUAAGGGUAAUACCCGAAACCAGGUGAUCUAAUCAUGAACAGGUUGAAGAUGUAGUAAAAUACAUUGGAGGACCGAACCCACGCAUGUGGAAAAAUGCGGGGAUGAUUUGUGAUUAGGGGUGAAAGGCCAAUCAAACUUGGAGAUAGCUGGUUUUCCGCGAAAUCUAUUUAAGUAGAGCGUUCAAUGUUUUUCUUUUGGGGUAGAGCACUCAAUGGACUAGGGGGACCAAAAAUCCUACCGAAUCCAAGGAAACUCCGAAUACAAAAGUAUUUGAUACAUUGAGCAGACAGACUUUGGGUGCUAAGAUCCAUAGUCGAAGGGGAAACAGCCCUGAAUGGACAUUAAGGUCCCUAACUUUUAUCUAAGUGAAUAAGGAAGUGAAAAAAUUAAAACAACCUGUAGGUAGGCUUGGAAGCAGCUUUCCUUUUAAGAAAGCGUAAUAGCUCACUGGUCUAGUUUUUUUGCGCCGAAAAUAUAUAGGGACUUAAGAUAAAGACCGAAAUGACAUUUUUUCCUUAAUAGGAAAAAGGUAGCGGAACGUUCUGUAGGUUGAUGAAGAAGUAUUGUGAGAUACUUUGGAGACAUCAGAAUUGAGAAUACUGACAUGAGUAACGAUAAAGGAUAUGAAAAAUAUCCUCGCUGUAAGCCGAAGGGUUUCUACGGUAGGUUAAUCCGCGUAGAGUUAGACGGUCCCUAAAAAGAAACCGAAAGGUGUAUUUGAUGGGAAACUCUUUUAUAAAUGACGAGGUAAGGUAUUUUAUUCUACUUUUUGGAUAAGUAGAUUAAUAAAUUAAAUCUCCAGGAAAAAGUUUAUAAAUAAUAAACCGUACCUUAAACCGACACAGGUCGGCAAGGUCGAAUAGACUAAAGCGCUUGAGAGAACCAGAUUGAAGGAACUCGGCAAAAUGACUCCGUAACUUCGGGAGAUGGAGUGCCUUUAUACUAUAAAUAUAAAGGCGGCACAGAAUCGGGGAUAGCGACUGUUUAUUAAAAACACAGGACUCUGCAAAAUCGUAAGAUGAAGUAUUGGGUCUGACACCUGCCCGGUGCUGGAAGGUUAACAGGAGAAGUUAUUGCUUUCAAUGGAAGCCCCAGCAAACGGCGGCCCUAACUCUGAGGGUCCAAAGGUAGCGAAAUUCCUUGUCACCUAAUUAGUGACCUGCAUGAAUGGUGUAACGACUGUCCCACUGUCUCCAAUCUGGACUCAGUGAAAUUGAAUUAGCCGUGAAGAUGCGGUUUACCUACAGCUAGACGGAAAGACCCCGUGCACCUUUACUACAUCUUUACAGUGUAAGAAGUUAUAAUAUGUAUAGGAUAGGUGGGAGCCUUUGACACCUUAACGCAAGUUAAUUGUGUAGGCAAUCUUGAAAUACCACCCUUGUUAUAAUAUCUUACUUACCAAGGUAAGCUAAAGUUUAUCUGGGACAUUGUAUGGUUGGUAGUUUGACUGGGGCGGUCACCUCCUAAAGAGUAACGGAGGUGUGCAACGGUGAGCUCAAAUUGGUUUAAUAUCAAUUGUAGAGUACAAUGGCAUAAGCUCGCCUGACUGUAAGAUAGACAUAUCGAGCAGGGACGAAAGUCGGCCAUAGUGAUCCGGUGGUUCUAUAUGAAAAGGCCAUCGCUCAACGGAUAAAAGGUACGCCGGGGAUAACAGGCUGAUGACUCUUAAGAGCUCCUAUCGACGGAGUCGUUUGGCACCUCGAUGUCGGCUCAUCACAUCCUGGAGCUGAAGAAGGUUCCAAGGGUUCGGCUGUUCGCCGAUGAAAGUGGUACGUGAGCUGGGUUUAGAACGUCGUGAGACAGUUUGGUCCCUAUCUACUGUAGGCGUAAAAAAUUGAGAGGAUUCGACCCUAGUACGAGAGGACCAGGUAGAACAAACCUAUGGUGUACCAGUUGUUAUUCCAAUAGCAUUGCUGGGUAGCUACGUUUGUAAUGGAUAAUCACUGAAAGCAUCUAAGUGAGAAACCAAUCUCAAGAUAAAUUUUUAACUAUAGGUACAAGACUAGUACUUCUCUAGAAUUUU